ACGGCACAGGAUGGGUCUGCGCGUAUCAGGUUGUAGGGGGUGUAAAGGACCCCCUAGCCAUUGACGCGUACGGGUUGUGGGAGCAAUCGCCCGGAGAUGGAUUCUGAGACACGAAUCCAGACCCUACGGGGUGCAGCAGGCGCGAAAACUUCACACUGCAGGAAACUGUGAUGAGGGAACUCCAAGUGCAUGCACAAUGUGUAUGCUUUUCCUUACUUUUAAUCGGUUUGGGAAUAAGGGCUGGGAAAGACCGGUGCCAGCCGCCGCGGUAAUACCGGCAGCUCAAGUGGUCGUCGCUUUUAUUGGGCCUAAAACGUCCGUAGCCUGUUUGGUAAAUCUGUGGGUAAAUCAACCAGCUUAACUGGUUGAAUUCUGCAGAGACUGCCAGACUAGGGACCGGGAGAGGUGUGGGGUACUCUCGGGGUAGGGGUAAAAUCCUGUCAUCCUGGGAGGACCACCAGUUGCGAAGGCGCCACACUGGAACGGAUCCGACGGUCAGGGACGAAGCCUAGGGGCACGAACCGGAUUAGAUACCCGGGUAGUCCUAGGAGUAAACGCUGUGAACUUGGUGUCGGGGAUCCUACUUGGGUUCCCGGUGCCGGAGUGAAGAUGUUAAGUUCACUGCCUGGGGAGUACGGUCGCAAGGCUGAAACUUAAAGGAAUUGGCGGGGGAGCACUGCAACGGGAGGAGCGUGCGGUUUAAUUGGAUUCAACGCCGGAAAACUCACCAAGGCCGACUGUUAGAUGAAGACCAGCGUAAUGAGCUUGUCGGAUUUUCAGAGAGGUGGUGCAUGGCCGUCGUCAGUUCGUACUGCAAAGCGUUCUGUUAAGUCAGAUAACGAACGAGACCCGCAUCCCUAUUUGCCACCCUGUUCUCCGGAGCAGGCGCACCAUAGGGAGACCGCUGGUGUGAAACCAGAGGAAGGCGCGGGCAACGACAGGUCAGUAUGCCCCGAAUGUCUUGGGCUACACGCGCGCUACAAAGGACGGGACAAUGGGAAGCCAGGCCGAGAGGUCGA
Molecule: ribosomal RNA, 1019 nt
Filed under: marine metagenome
Description: bacterial SSU rRNA
Rfam family: Archaeal small subunit ribosomal RNA
Source: RNAcentral